GAUGAAGAACGUAGCGAAAUGCGAUAAGUAAUGUGAAUUGCAGAAUUCAGUGAAUCAUCGAAUCUUUGAACGCACAUUGCGCCCAUUAGCGUUCUAGUGGGCAUGCCUGUUCGAGCGUCAUUUCAACCCUUAAGCCCUGUUGCUUAGCGUUGGGAGCCUACAGUACUGUAGCUCCCCAAAGUUAGUGGCGGAGUCGGUUUCACACUCUAGACGUAGUAAUUUUUUCUCGUCUGUAGUUGAGCCGGUCCCCUGCCGUAAAACACCCAAUUUAUCAAGGUUGACCUCGGAUCAGGUAGGAAUACCCGCUGAACUUAAGCAUAUCAAUAAGCGGAGGA
This 335-nucleotide unclassified non-coding RNA is filed under the name soil metagenome. RNAcentral describes it as "partial contains 5.8S ribosomal RNA, internal transcribed spacer 2, and large subunit ribosomal RNA". The stretch from base 1 to 120 matches the Rfam family "5.8S ribosomal RNA", at positions 35 to 154 of the family's 154-position model. The record is from RNAcentral.